RNAcentral lists this long non-coding RNA (1468 nucleotides) under Homo sapiens (human). RNAcentral describes it as "HSALNT0075257". Lineage: Eukaryota; Metazoa; Chordata; Mammalia; Primates; Hominidae. The record is from RNAcentral.
GGAUUACAGGCGUGAGCCACCGCGCCCGGCCUUUUAAAUGGCUUUAAAUCAGUAGAUGCAUAUUUUUAAACUUUAAUUUUAGAAAGUACUCUGCCUGCAACGUGAAACAUAGACUGAAGGUGGGUGAUGCGGAGAAAGACUGAAGGCUGCUGGGAGUUUAUAAAGAUCAGAAAAAAGACACUUUGCAAAUUCUGAUGAUACUACUAAAAGAUACACAAGAAUUGGUUCCUUCCGGUGGGUUCUUGGUCUCGCUAACUUCAAGAAUGAAGCUGCGGACCCUUGUGAUUCUCAGUAUCUGCUUAUGUUUUAGGUAAAAAAAAGUAUUCUAGACAUAUUGAAAAGAACAGAGGACUGGAUGCCACCUAACUGGGGUCAAAUUUACUCUGCUUCUCAAGAUCUGCAAUAUCUUAGGAAAAUCCUUCUACCUCUCUUGACACAUUCUCAACUUGUCCCAGAGAAGUUGGAGUGUUGGACAACAGAGCAACUUCUUCCUCCUCAAAAGAAAGGUGAGAGCUGGGGUUUCUCAUCAGCUCACUCUAUGCUGAGCAGUGAGUAUGACUUAUGGCAUCUACCAGUACAAAUCAUCAUCUCUACUCUCCCCUUGACAGCUAGACUGUGCCAAUCAUGUCAGAGGCCCAAACCUGACAAGAAAGAAUCCAGUCUUCAGGGGAGUCCCGAACCAAAUUCUUCCCUUCUCUGAGAGAGGCUGGAAAAUAGGAUAUCUUUUUCUGAUUGUACAGUGUUGUGCCAGGGUAGGCAUUCUGGCAGAAGUGUGUCCUGAACCUUCUUUCUGGCUUUGGUGUGGUUGCAAACUGUCUUGAACUUCAUUUCAUCUCAACAGAAGACACUGGCUAGUGAUGGGGCUCAGAAUAUGCCACCCUAAAGUAUGACUGUAAGAGGCCAGAAUAUGUCACUUGAAAUAGGCCUUUAUGGAAUAAGAAUUAUUUUGAGCUGGUUAUUUUGAGAAGCUGCAGACACAAAAGAAGCUCUGAAAAGUCACCCUUUUACAAGUAAAAUUUACAUCUAUAAAGUAAAUAUCCAUUUGUGAUGGUGUCUCUCUAAAGCAAAAAAUCACUAGAGCCUCUUAAUCAAAGGAGAAAGCAUCAACUUAAAUUUUUAAAACAUACUUCUCCCUUGUUCUAUGGUGCUUUUCUGGCAUGCUUGUCUUAACCAGAUCUUCCCCCAUACCCUUCUUUCUUUGUUUCAGAGAACUAUGGUAAUUAAGCCUGAAGUAUAAGUAAACUCUUUGAAACGUACUCUACAUAUUUACUCAUUUCUUUGGGUUAUUUCCCAUGUAUACAGGAAGUAUACAUGUAAUUCAACCAUUUGUUUUUGCCUUGUUAGUCCAUCUUAUGUUACAGGGAGUCCCAGCAAAGAACUGGGAGGAGAAAAUUAUUUUUCCUCUCCUAUACUGGGUAAUGUGAUCCUACUGAAGAUACCAGUAGGAUCUCCUUAAACCUCAAUCUGC